Molecule: long non-coding RNA, 407 nt
Filed under: Nicotiana tabacum (common tobacco)
Lineage: Eukaryota; Viridiplantae; Streptophyta; Magnoliopsida; Solanales; Solanaceae
Description: long non-coding RNA (NTAB_LNC012247)
Source: RNAcentral
CUACCAAAAACAACAAAAUUAAAAAAAAGAUACCCAAAAAAGGAAAAAACCAUCAAAACCACGGUAGUAAUUCCUAAUACAGGUGGUUCAUCAGCUUGGAUAAGAAUAAGCGAGGUGAGUAACAAUGGCGGAAGUAUUAAAUCCAUUAAAAUUGGACCCAGCAGCUUUAGUAUAAGCACCCAUAUUAGGAAAAACCAGCCAAUCAUUAACCUGCAGCUCCGGUAACUGGUAAUCCCUUAAAACAGUAUCAAGAGCAUCACAAGUGGGCCCAAACACAGUCGUCGGAAACGUUUUCGACCCGCCGCAGGUAACGUUACUACGAUUCGACAGAACAGCUAACGGCGUUGCAUUCACCGUCGCAUGGUCGUAAAGUACACAGUUCAUCGAACCGUACAGCCCGUCGUUAA